Molecule: long non-coding RNA, 491 nt
Organism: Wyeomyia smithii (pitcher-plant mosquito)
Lineage: Eukaryota; Metazoa; Arthropoda; Insecta; Diptera; Culicidae
Exons: 2
Source: RefSeq, a predicted model, not a curated record
CGGAUCACAACGGUGGAAAGAGCCACACACCAGAAACCAAGCGAUCUGCAGGACACUGAGGUAAUCACCCGAUCGAUGUGAGAGUCCCGAGUACCGCUAGGAAAAAGGAGCAACUCGUAGCAUCUGCCUGCCGAUCCCCCGACGAUAAAGGGAUUCCCGUCAACCCAGGAAAAGAAAGUCCAGAUAUGCUGGCAUUCAUACUAGGACUUUUAAUCCUACAUUCAGGAUGGUCAUCAGAACAAACUAUAUCACUCCGGAACCUAACUAACCAGCCAAUCCUAGCAUUCGACCAUGGAACUAGCAGAGUAAGAAUUGACUCAUAUUUUUAUAUCCAUCAUUUUAACAUAAGUUCAUAUCAAUACCAUGUACGAAACCUUAGAGACAUGUUUGACGAAAUAGCGACCAAUCAGUUUUCCAUAUUAAUUAUAGAAGAAUUUAAACAAAUCGAUCAAAUACUGAACAACCUUAUUUCAAUUAAAAGAUCAAAACGC